RNAcentral lists this small RNA (764 nucleotides) under Pan troglodytes (chimpanzee). Its description in RNAcentral is "retained intron". The record is from RNAcentral. Lineage: Eukaryota; Metazoa; Chordata; Mammalia; Primates; Hominidae.
AGGCGGUGCCCUGCUGACUUCGACCAGCGGCCCUGGUUUCCAUCUCAUGCUCCCUUUCAUCACAUCAUAUAAGUCUGUGCAGACCACACUCCAGACAGAUGAGGUGAAGAAUGUACCUUGUGGGACUAGUGGUGGUGUGAUGAUCUACUUUGACAGAAUUGAAGUGGUGAACUUCCUGGUCCCGAACGCAGUGUAUGAUAUAGUGAAGAACUAUACUGCUGACUAUGACAAGGCCCUCAUCUUCAACAAGAUCCACCACGAACUGAACCAGUUCUGCAGUGUGCACACGCUUCAAGAGGUCUACAUUGAGCUGUUUGAUCAGAUUGAUGAAAAUCUCAAACUGGCUUUGCAACAGGACCUGACCUCCAUGGCCCCUGGGCUGGUCAUUCAAGCUGUGCGGGUAACAAAGCCCAACAUACCAGAGGCAAUCCGCAGAAACUACGAGUUGAUGUGAGUAUACCCUCCGCCUGGGCUGUGACCACCACUGCCUCCCACCUCCCACCUCGUCCCAUCCCAGAGGUAACCAAAGCUGCCAGGCUUCUCGGUUAUCCCCUUGCUGGAGGAUUUGCUACAGCCCAUUGCACUGUAAGAUUGGGCAGGCGUGUCAGGGCCACCACUGGGGCUCCCUACCUGUGAUUGAGAACCCCAGGAUAAUCCCUGUAGAGCAGCGAUGUUUUGAAAAGGGCCAGGGGGCCUUGUUUGUGUUCAGUGACUCAUGCCCAAGGUGGAGACAGGAGCAAGAGACCAGUAAGUGGACAGGCAGG